This 328-nucleotide unclassified non-coding RNA is filed under the name Coprinellus radians. RNAcentral's name for it is "partial internal transcribed spacer region". The stretch from base 1 to 46 matches the Rfam family "Eukaryotic small subunit ribosomal RNA", at positions 1786 to 1831 of the family's 1831-position model. The record is from RNAcentral. Lineage: Eukaryota; Fungi; Basidiomycota; Agaricomycetes; Agaricales; Psathyrellaceae.
AAGUCGUAACAAGGUUUCCGUAGGUGAACCUGCGGAAGGAUCAUUAACGAAUAACUAUGGUGUUGGUUGUAGCUGGCUCCUCGGAGCAUUGUGCACGCCCGCCAUUUUUAUCUUUCCACCUGUGCACCGACUGUAGGUCUGGAUACCUCUCGCCUCCCUUCUCUUAGGGUUAAAGCGGAUGCGGGGAUUGCUCGCAAGGGCUCUCCUUGAACUUCCAGGCUCUACGUCUUUUUACACACCCCAAUAGUAUGAUCCAGAAUGAUAGUCAAUGGGCUUUCAUAGCCUAUAAAACACUAUACAACUUUCAGCAACGGAUCUCUUGGCUCUC